Molecule: ribosomal RNA, 253 nt
Filed under: uncultured bacterium
Lineage: Bacteria
Description: partial 16S ribosomal RNA
Rfam family: Bacterial small subunit ribosomal RNA
Source: RNAcentral
UACGGGGGGGGCAAGCGUUGUUCGGAAUUACUGGGCGUAAAGGGCUCGUAGGUGGCCAACUAAGUCAGACGUGAAAUCCCUCGGCUUAACCGGGGAACUGCGUCUGAUACUGGAUGGCUUGAGGUUGGGAGAGGGAUGCGGAAUUCCAGGUGUAGCGGUGAAAUGCGUAGAUAUCUGGAGGAACACCGGUGGCGAAGGCGGCAUCCUGGACCAAUUCUGACGCUGAGGAGCGAAAGCCAGGGGAGAAAACGGG